RNAcentral lists this ribosomal RNA (392 nucleotides) under uncultured bacterium. RNAcentral describes it as "partial 16S ribosomal RNA". It matches the Rfam family "Bacterial small subunit ribosomal RNA", at positions 523 to 918 of the family's 1533-position model. The record is from RNAcentral.
AUACGGAGGAUGCGAGCGUUAUCCGGAUUUAUUGGGUUUAAAGGGAGCGUAGGCGGGAGCUUAAGUCAGCGGUUAAAUGGUGCGGCUCAACCGUGCCCCGCCGUUGAAACUGGGUUUCUUGAGAGUGCAAGAGGCGGAUGGAAUUCAUGGUGUAGCGGUGAAAUGCUUAGAUAUCAUGAAGAACUCCGAUUGCGAAGGCAGUCCGCUGGGGCACGUCUGACGCUGAUGCUCGAAGGUGCGGGAAUCAAACAGGAUUAGAUACCCUGGUAGUCCGCACGGUAAACGAUGAUUACCCGCUGUCGGCGGCAGACAGUCGGCGGCCAAGCGAAAGCGAUAAGUAAUCCACCUGGGGAGUACGCCGGCAACGGUGAAACUCAAAUGAAUUGGCGGGG